This 1098-nucleotide long non-coding RNA is filed under the name Anser brachyrhynchus (Pink-footed goose). RNAcentral's name for it is "lncRNA (ENSABRG00000017715.1)". The record is from RNAcentral. Lineage: Eukaryota; Metazoa; Chordata; Aves; Anseriformes; Anatidae.
CACCUUGCGGUAUUCUUCUAGCUUAGCUAGGAUGAUACAUUUUACCUACCGUUUGACAAACUAUGACAUUUACAAGGUAAGUAGUAAUUAGGGAUGCUUAUCUGUGUGCCAAUUUGCAUCCUACAUGGUUAGCUCAUCGUGAUGUCACAGAAAACCUCCUUGCUAGCUGUACAGGCUUUGCUGCAAAAAAAGACAUUUUCAGUGAGCACCUUCCCUCGUUCUGCUCGCAAUUCCAGCGGACUUUCACUCCUGAUCCACUGGCAAGAUGCUAAUAGUGUCACUGAGGUUUCUGCACACAGAAAAGGUUUGCACAACACAGUUUUCCUACCUCUUCAAAAUCAUUUUGGACAACUUCAACACAGGUCUUUCAUUCAAUGGGAGAAUCAUGAGCAGAAAGUGAUCCUAAGAUCCUUUCUCAAUCCUUUCUACAGGGUUUAAAUACCUACUCCAUGAGACUGGUGAGAACUCACAGCAAGUGGGCACCCUCCCUGUGAUAUCUGUCAAUGCCCACUGGCAUAGCUACACGAGAAGCACAUCAGAAGAGCUAGAAGCUAACACUGGAGACGUGAGAUCAAGCUGAUCUACCUGAUCUAUAUCCAAAGACAUCCAUUCAGAGCUUGCACAGAGACACAGAACAUCACUGGGUUGGUUGUUUUCAGCUGAAGAUCAGCUUUCCUAGGGCAUGUAGGUUAGGGAUACAAGUGGAUGGUCUUCUUUGAUAUAUAAGCAACAGAGCAGAACCACACUCCAAAUCUGAACAAAAUGUUCACAGAUCACAAAGAAAACCAAGCCCACCUCCAAGUGAGUCUGGAAGUGGAUGAUUCAAUUAAUUUUCAGUGAUAUGCAAUUCAUGCCUGGCACCUGAAGACUCUUUUAUUUCAAGGAGUUUUUGCUUUGAGACUGAAAAUGAAAUUGAAAGUAAAAUAUUUGGAACAAGAAGUGAGGUGAGCAUUUCAAAAAAGACUGAACGAAAUAUUUGUGUAACAGUCAGCAAGAGACAACACUUGGCUUUUUGCUCAGCCACACUGCUAAGACUCAUGCAGAGUCUGAUAUUAGAGACUAGGUUAAAUAAACCCCAGAAAUAAUGCUAGAUGUUCA